CCAGCAGCCGCGGUAAUUCCAGCUCCAAUAACGUAUGUUAAAGUUGUUGCAGUUAAAAAGCUCGUAGUCUGACUCUUGGUCUGGCGGAUCGAGCGUCGGCGGCCCACAAGGUCGCUCGUACGCCGUCGCCGGCCUUCGUACUUCGGAGGAGCGCGUCUGCUUUUCACUAAGUGGGCGUGGGAUUCCGAUAGUUUACUUUGAGAAAAAUAGAGUGUUCAAAGCAGGCGAUUGCCUUGAAUACAUUAGCAUGGGAUAAUGGAACAGGACAUUGGUUCUAUUUUGAUGGUUUAAGGACCGAUGUAAUGAUUAAUAGGGACGGUUGGGGACAUUCAUAUUCCAUGGCUAGAGGUGA
RNAcentral lists this ribosomal RNA (352 nucleotides) under uncultured eukaryote. RNAcentral's name for it is "SSU rRNA". It matches the Rfam family "Eukaryotic small subunit ribosomal RNA", at positions 567 to 914 of the family's 1831-position model. The record is from RNAcentral.